UCCCUGGUGGCUCAGAGGUUAAAGCGUCUGCCUGCAAUGCAGGAGACCUGAGUUCGAUCCCUGGGUCGGGAA
This 72-nucleotide transfer RNA is filed under the name Bos taurus (domestic cattle). It matches the Rfam family "tRNA". From Rfam's summary of the family: Transfer RNA (tRNA) molecules are approximately 80 nucleotides in length. Their secondary structure includes four short double-helical elements and three loops (D, anti-codon, and T loops). RNAcentral also lists the same sequence under 5 other names. Lineage: Eukaryota; Metazoa; Chordata; Mammalia; Artiodactyla; Bovidae. The record is from Rfam by way of RNAcentral.